This 414-nucleotide ribosomal RNA is filed under the name Protoparmelia badia. RNAcentral's name for it is "SSU rRNA". It matches the Rfam family "Bacterial small subunit ribosomal RNA", at positions 349 to 749 of the family's 1533-position model. Lineage: Eukaryota; Fungi; Ascomycota; Lecanoromycetes; Lecanorales; Parmeliaceae. The record is from RNAcentral.
UAGCAGUGAGGAAUAUUGGUCAAUAGCCUAACGGCUGAACCAGCAACUUGGAGGAAUGUAUAGCAAUAGCUGAUUGCACCAACAAACAGUUGAUGCAAUAUCGACUAUGUCGAAUAAAAUUCUAGGUAGAAUUAUGAUAAUGACAUUGUCUGCCUAUGUGUCUUGACCAACAUACGUGCCAGCAGUCGCGGUAAUACGUAAAAGACUAGUGUUAUUCAUCUUUAAUAGGUUUAAAGGGUACCUAGACGGUAAAUCAAGCCUUUUACCUUAGGGACUAAUUUACUAGAGUUACUUGUGAGGGGGUUUUAAAGUACUGCUGGUGUAGAGAUGAAAUUCUGUCAUACCUCUUUUCGUAAGAAAAACUAUGGCACAGGUAUAGGCGAAAGCAUCCCCUUAUGUGAUAACUGACGUUGA